AAUGAACGCUGGCGGCGUGCCUAACACAUGCAAGUCGGAUGUGCCCGCAAGGGUGCAUGGCAGACGGGUGAGUAACGCGUGGGGAACCUACCUCUUUGUGGGGAAUAACGUUCCGAAAGGAAUGGUAAUACCGCAUGAGACCUUCGGCUGGGAUGCUGGAGGUGAAACCCGGGGACCGUAAGGCCUGGGGCAAGGAGAGGGUCCUGCGUCUGAUUAGCUAGUUGGCGGGGUAAUGGCCCACCAAGGCGACGAUCAGUAGCCGGCCUGAGAGGGUGAUCGGCCACACUGGAACUGAGGCACGGUCCAGACUCCUACGGGAGGCAGCAGUGGGGAAUUUUGCGCAAUGGACGAAAGUCUGACGCAGCAACGCCGCGUGGGUGAUGAAGGUCUUCGGAUUGUAAAACCCUGUCGUCAGGGACGAAGGUUGGGGCUUUAAUAGAGUUUCAACUUGACGGUACCUGGAGAGGAAGCCCCGGCUAACUCUGUGCCAGCAGCCGCGGUAAACA
This 506-nucleotide ribosomal RNA is filed under the name uncultured bacterium. RNAcentral's name for it is "bacterial SSU rRNA". It matches the Rfam family "Bacterial small subunit ribosomal RNA", at positions 29 to 527 of the family's 1533-position model. The record is from RNAcentral.